This 502-nucleotide ribosomal RNA is filed under the name Pseudomonadales bacterium. Its description in RNAcentral is "partial 23S ribosomal RNA". It matches the Rfam family "Bacterial large subunit ribosomal RNA", at positions 1994 to 2494 of the family's 2925-position model. The record is from RNAcentral. Lineage: Bacteria; Pseudomonadati; Pseudomonadota; Gammaproteobacteria; Pseudomonadales.
GAAUAGCGUAACGACAGCUGUACUGUCUCCACGAGGGACUCGGCGAAAUUGUAGUCGUGGUGAAGAUGCCACGUUCCCGCACCAAGACGGAAAGACCCCGUGAACCUUUACUGUAACCUAAUACUGGCUCUAGGUUCGUCAUGUGUAGCAUAGGUGGGAGACGUUGAUGUCGGAGGCGCCAGCCUUCGAAUAGUCACCGGUGAAAUACCACUCUUGACGUAUUUGGAUUCUAACCCGUGACCGUUAUCCGGCAUGGGAACAGUGUUAGGCGGGCAGUUUGACUGGGGCGGUCUCCUCCAAAAGAGUAACGGAGGAGUGCAAAGGUACCCUCAAUGCGGUUGGCAAUCGCAUGCAGAGCGUAAAGGUAUAAGGGUGCUUGACUGCGAGACACAUAGGUCGAGCAGGUACGAAAGUAGGUCUUAGUGAUCCGGUGGUCCCGUGUGGAAGGGCCAUCGCUCAUCAGAUAAAAGGUACUCCGGGGAUAACAGGCUGAUCACGCCCA